Molecule: transfer RNA, 82 nt
Filed under: Spirochaetia bacterium
Lineage: Bacteria; Pseudomonadati; Spirochaetota; Spirochaetia
Description: tRNA-Leu
Rfam family: tRNA
About the family: Transfer RNA (tRNA) molecules are approximately 80 nucleotides in length. Their secondary structure includes four short double-helical elements and three loops (D, anti-codon, and T loops).
Source: RNAcentral
GCGAGAGUGGUGAAAUUGGUAGACACGCUAGCCUUAGGAGCUAGUGCCGCAGGCAUAAGGGUUCGAGUCCCUUCUCUCGCAC